CUUAAAAUUAACUUGCACAUAUUCUUUUGUUUUAAAUAGGCUCCAGAUGCUUCUGGUGCCAUCAUUUCAGUUCUCCAAUAGCACAGAUAGUGAAUAUGGUGGUGAUCAAUAAGAAGCAGUUUUUCACAGCAUUACAUGAUGAUUAUGACUGAGUAUGUUGAAUCUGAGUUGCCGACUACAAUAUUGCAGUAACUAAGAGGAGAUGGAAGGCAUAAUUAAAGAGUGCAUGAAGAUGAAUCUAUCUCUAUUUUACUAUUUUUGUGUGAUUUUUUUUCAAAAUAAAAAAAAAAAUGUGUUUGUUCUAGCUCGUUGAAGAUGAAAUACAUUAUAUUAUUUAUAUUAUGUAAUGUGGGAUUAAGAAUGAUGAACAGUCAUGAACUGUCACUAAAUAUUGACUGUAAGUGCUUAUGCCGAAAAAAAAAAAGUGUGCUUGUUUU
This is a long non-coding RNA of Vigna radiata var. radiata (mung bean), 437 nucleotides long. RefSeq lists it as uncharacterized. Lineage: Eukaryota; Viridiplantae; Streptophyta; Magnoliopsida; Fabales; Fabaceae. The record is from RefSeq and is a predicted model, not a curated record. The transcript has 3 exons.